Molecule: long non-coding RNA, 660 nt
Filed under: Vigna radiata
Lineage: Eukaryota; Viridiplantae; Streptophyta; Magnoliopsida; Fabales; Fabaceae
Description: long non-coding RNA (VRAD_LNC017333)
Source: RNAcentral
GACAAAAAAGAGAAGAAGAUAAUGUCUCGGGCAGAGGGGAUCUCCUUGCCAACUAGCCAGAAGCAUGUAAAAGAAAAUCAAACCAAUUGGGGUCGUCCUUUUAGCCAAUCUUUUUCAUGCCCACUACCUCUUCCAAACGGAACCCUUUGCCAAGGAAAAAACUGGGGCAUAAGAGUCUCAUACAAAUUUUUCAUCAACCCAUGACCCAAGACUGGGGCAGCUUUGUGAGUCUCAUACAAAUUUUUCAUCAACCCAUGAUCCCAAGACUAGGGCAAAUUUGCAAGUCUCAUUUGAUUUGUUCACCCCAAUUUUCAUGGAUCCAAACCCCAACUCAUUUUCCCAAACACAAAACCGGGGCAAAAUUUUUGGUAUGUCAUCUCCUUUGAGGAUUGUAGUACCCAUGUGCCGGUCCCAGUCUUCCAAACCAUUCCAAAUGACUCUCAUUCUCUUCAAAACCAUCCUCUUGCCAAUAAAUUCAAAUGUGUGUGCACUUAUGUCUCGGAAGAAAAGUCAAAGUGUAAUAAUCUCAAAGUUUAGAUCUUGGAUGUAUGACAUUCCUCAGUUUUCACAAAACGUUGAAAAUAAAGACCAGUUUGAUGAUUACAAGUAAGAUGACUGACUCAAGCAAAAUGACAUGCAAAAACAAAGCAAAUGUUUUUC